Molecule: long non-coding RNA, 949 nt
Organism: Portunus trituberculatus (swimming crab)
Lineage: Eukaryota; Metazoa; Arthropoda; Malacostraca; Decapoda; Portunidae
Exons: 2
Source: RefSeq, a predicted model, not a curated record
GAGUCUUUACAAAAGCUAGCCCCGAGAUCGUUUGUGCCGGUCAAAACUUUAGCUUAAUUUACCCUAGAUUUACUUUUUAAAAGCCUUAACCAUCAUUUGGCACCAAAACGUAAUGUUAACAAUUAGGUCUGGGUGUAACUCAACCACCACUGCCAAAGAUACAUCCUUGUCCGGCGCCAUGAUGACGUGCUAUUUCCCAAUAACAGCUAGACACUGCAGGCUGUCCCUCAUUGCUAACCAACCACCACCACCACCACGCGGCCACCAUGUUUACAUUACUCCCAUCCUGAUAAGCUUAAUAUUAUCUAGUACUCACGUAAUACUGAGCUUCCUGCCAUGUCAGAGCGUCACUCCUUCCUCCCUCACAUCUCCCGCAGUGUGCCUUCAUUCUAGGGAUCGGUGUCGUGAACUGUGAAGCUUUCGGGAUCUCGUUUGGUCUCAAUAAUUUUAGAUGUACUGCCAGACUACUACUACUACUACUACUACUACUACUACUACUAUAAAUAAUAAUAAUACGAAGAAGAAAAACCUCGUUAACAAAAUGAGUUUAUUGAUAAAGUAUAAUACAAUAUCGGUCCAUUUCCUCUCCCUUAAUUACAGGUGUGGGCGACAUAAUAACAUUAAUAAUAAUAAUAAUAAUAAUAAACCACAUGAUUAUUAUGAACACAUACCUCGCCCAUGUCACAAUAAUAAUAAUAAUAAUAAUAAUAAUAAUAAUAAUAAUAAUAAUAAUAAUAAUAGAAUGCAUUUACUUUUCUUUCCCGCAAACCCCAAACUUAAACUUACUAUAUAUAUGAGAAAUGGACCUUUUUAAGUCAAACCAGAGCUAGAGAAGGCACAUAUUCUAAUCAACACUGGAGAGAGAGAGAGAGAGAGAGAGAGAGAGAGAGAGAGAGAGAGAGAGAGAGAGAGAGAGAGAGAGAGAGAGAGAGAGAGAGAGAGAGAGAGA